GGUUUAUCUCCAGAACUCGAAUAAAUCAGGAAGAAAAGGUUAACUGGUGAUGGAAAAUCAUCCCAAGAUGAUACUUCUGACUUGUACUAGCAAAAGAAAGGCAACUGGGAGAUUGUGAGCGUUGAAGCCCAGCCCAGGGGUGGAGGAGACAAUUCUGCCUCAGAUAUGAGAGAUGAAAACUUAAGAAAUAAAGAAGAGGCAUCGCAGUCCUACUCCACCACUGCGACACUUCUGCUCUGCAUGGCACGUUUAUACAAGUAGAAAAUGGACUGGAAAACUGGGAAAGGAAGCAUGAAACUUGAAGCCUUCACAUGCUCUUGUCAA
This is a long non-coding RNA of Erinaceus europaeus (western European hedgehog), 324 nucleotides long. RefSeq lists it as uncharacterized. The record is from RefSeq and is a predicted model, not a curated record. The transcript has 4 exons. Lineage: Eukaryota; Metazoa; Chordata; Mammalia; Eulipotyphla; Erinaceidae.